This 453-nucleotide ribosomal RNA is filed under the name uncultured Xanthobacter sp. RNAcentral's name for it is "bacterial SSU rRNA". It matches the Rfam family "Bacterial small subunit ribosomal RNA", at positions 929 to 1382 of the family's 1533-position model. Lineage: Bacteria; Pseudomonadati; Pseudomonadota; Alphaproteobacteria; Hyphomicrobiales; Xanthobacteraceae. The record is from RNAcentral.
GCGGUGGAGCAUGUGGUUUAAUUCGAAGCAACGCGCAGAACCUUACCAGCCUUUGACAUGGCAGGACGAUUUUCAGAGAUGGAUCUCUCCAGCAAUGGACCUGCACACAGGUGCUGCAUGGCUGUCGUCAGCUCGUGUCGUGAGAUGUUGGGUUAAGUCCCGCAACGAGCGCAACCCUCGCCUUUAGUUGCCAUCAUUCAGUUGGGCACUCUAAAGGGACUGCCGGUGAUAAGCCGCGAGGAAGGUGGGGAUGACGUCAAGUCCUCAUGGCCCUUACGGGCUGGGCUACACACGUGCUACAAUGGCGGUGACAGUGGGAUGCAAAGGGGCGACCCCUCGCAAAUCUCAAAAAGCCGUCUCAGUUCGGAUUGUACUCUGCAACUCGAGUGCAUGAAGUUGGAAUCGCUAGUAAUCGUGGAUCAGCAUGCCACGGUGAAUACGUUCCCGGGCCUU